ACUACUAGGACAUAUGGAUCUAGUAGGGAACAGGAAUAAUGACCAGACCUUAACAAAGAGUAUUCAUAACUCCUCGAAUAGGAGGAUGCAUUAUGGAAACAAAGAGCUUAAAAAUUUUAGCUUCAGAACGGGGACAAGAAUUCUAAGUACUUCCAUAGAUAGGCCACCCUUCACAAGUGUCAAAAUUACAUAGUUAUCUUAGGGGAUGAGGAGGGAGAAUGGAUCCUUGAAUAGGAGCCCUUGUACGACUACAUUAUACAUUACUUUUAUGAGCUCUUCAAGGCGUUCGAUGGGGACUAUGAGUUGGUA
Molecule: long non-coding RNA, 309 nt
Filed under: Carica papaya (papaya)
Lineage: Eukaryota; Viridiplantae; Streptophyta; Magnoliopsida; Brassicales; Caricaceae
Description: long non-coding RNA (CPAP_LNC012682)
Source: RNAcentral